UGGGCUUCUUGGGCUCCGGGGGCGGAACCUUGUCGACGGUGACGGUGAGCACCCCGUCGCGGCACACGGCGGUGAUGGCGUCGACGUUGGCGUCCUCGGGGAGCACGAACCUCCGCAUGAGCUUCCCCAUCCUCCGCUCCAUCCGCAGGUACUUGGCCCCCUCCUUCUCCUCUUCGUCUCCUCCUCCUCCUCCUCUCUUCCUCUCGCCGCUGAUGACGAGGACGCGGCCCUCCUCGACCUCGACCUUGAUCUCCCCCGAUUUCACCCCGGGCAUGUCCACCACGAACACGUAGGCGUUGGGCAGCUCCUUCACGUCCGCGGGGGUCGACGCCAUUGCCCUCGCGUCGCGCACGUACUUCCGCGUCGGCGCGUUGAAGGUCUUCUCCGUCUCCUCCGGGAUCUCCAUCAGCUGCUGCAGCGUCGAGAGCAGCGGGUUCUCCAGCCCAAACACGCGCACGUCCAUUGUUUUCUUUUCCUUGUCGAAUCGAAGGCCCGAUGCAGGUUUUCUCUCCUCUCGUCGAUCUGAGGGGAGAGGGAUGGGGGGGUUCGGGAGAAUUUAAAGUGCGAGGGGAGAGAGGAAGAAGGUGAUGGAUGGAAUUACCUUUAGCUUCGUCUGGGGGUGUGGAGUAGGAUCGAGAACGCGAUGGAAGGUUCGGUUUGUUUCUAGAAGUUCCGAGAUCGUUCUCUUCGAAUCCUCCUAGGAGAAGUGGAAUUUCGGCCCAUUAGUGAGCCCAAAUCACUUCAUACCACCCCAAAAAGAAAACAAUCACUUUAUAGUUAUCCGGCCCAAACUCUCAACCCGGUACGAGCAGGAAAUUAAUUGUGUGAACUUUUUUAGUGCCUAAUAUCGUGGUCCACAUAACGAAACAUUUACUUAUUAUUUCAACAUCUUCUUCUAACAAAAAGCAUUUACUAGUGCAACUCUUAUAUUUCCCCCUCUACCCCGCGAGCUGCAGAUUUACAUUCUCUUCUUGUAGCAACAAGGAGAGGAAAAAACCAAAAAAAAAAAAAAAAAAACACCCUCUUAUAAGUGAUCCAUCCACAUCAAACACUAACAAAACCAUGCAGAUAUAUACAUGAAGUUAACCAUUCGUACGUGUAUAUGCAUCCCUUUCUCUUCUCCUCACCCAGCCUUAACCUCAAAUGUCUUGCGCUUCUUCGGCUCCGGUGCCGGCGGCAUCCGCUCCUUAUACACCGCGGAUACGCUAUCGAGGUUCGCCGUCUCCGGCGGGAAGUUGCGCACGAACUUUCCCACCCUUCUCUCCGUCCUCAAAUACUUCACCCCCUCGUCGUCCGCCGCCCGCCUCUGCUCCCCGGAUAUCACCAGCAGCUUGCCGUCCUCCAGGCGGACUGUGACGUCCUCGCGGCUCGCCCCGGGCACGUCAACGGCGAUCACGAGCUGCCAUUGGGGAGCUCGAGCACGUCCGUCGGCGCAUUCACCACCGCCGCCUUCUUCGCCUGCGCGGGAGCGUUGGGAGCGUCCGACGUCGCCUGCUGCAGCGCCGAGAGCAAGGGGUGGUCGUCGACGCCCACCACAAUGUCCGUCUCUUCUCUUCGUUUUCUUCGCGUAAUAACCAAUAACAAUAGCAGCUUCUUUAGAAGAGGUAGUGUUGUGCAGCAUCCACCGCCUUACGUAGUCUCUGCUGUUUCUUAUAGAAGGGUGGCGCUGAGUUUAGGUGUUGCCACGUGGUACUCGGAUGCAGGACACGUGGCGUGUUGCCAGGACGGAGCUAUGUCGAGGCCCAAGGUGGCCAUGACCCCCUCAACUUCUCAGUAGAGGCCCAAGGACCCAUGACCCCCUCAACUUCUCAAUAUUUACUUAAUGGUCCUUCAUAGUUUUUUUUUUUUUGGCUCAUGGAUAGCUUAGUUUUUCAAUAUUUACUUAAUAGUAUGGUACCAACAUAACACACACACUCUCUCUCUCUCUCUCUCCCUCUCCUAAUCAGUAUAUUUUUUUACAGGUGAAAAUACAUUAACGAGUUUCUUACUUAUAAAGUAUUUUGUAAUGUAUUUCUCUACUCUAAAAAUUUUAUUUAAUAAUUUUUUAAACUUUUAUUUAUCUUAGAUAAGAUCUUUUAUUUGACUAAAUUAAGGAUUGCACUAAAUUUAAUAACUAUAUUAAUUUUAUUUAGUAAAAAAAUUAAGAUAUUACUGUUAAAUGUAGUAAAAUUUUUAAAUUAUUUUAAUAUAAUAAUAUAAAUAGAAUAAUUAGAAGUUAAAUAUAUGAAAAUAAAAAUAAUAAUGUUCAUGUUUUUACAUUAUUUGUUUUAUUAAUAAUUUUUUUAAUAAAAAAUUUUCGAUUAGAAAAAAUCUUGUUUAUUAUUUACUUAUUACUAAAGUUUCUAUUUGAAUAUAUUUCGGCCUCUCAAGAUUAAAUCCUAGCUUUGGCACUGCAUUAUGUUGCUAGGAGUCCCAUACCGAGGCUGUUCGGUAGGAGCACGAGCUUUUAUUUAAUAAGCUUAAUAGGGGAAUUUUGGAAAGAGAGUUAUUAGGUAAGCAUGUGAAAAAUGGUUAGUAUAACUUUCUAUUUUCGUUUAAUUUCGAAAUCUUUCGCCAUUUUGAUGACCACUGAGUAAUAUAUGUAUCUGGGUGUAGUCACUCAGGCGGAACGGAAAUCACAGUAGCAUGUGAUUCUGUUGUUCACAUCGACAAAGCAGAAACAUUUAUUGUAUCGCACUCAUUAUUCAUUAAUGUAGACUACACAAUAUUCACUAGUAUCAACAUAAAUGGAAGAAGCUGUUGUGGCGGGGAAGAAGUGGUUAGCAGAUUUAAUUUAAAAAGCCAUUAAUGUUGGUUAGGGAAAAAGUUAUUUGUAUUUUUUUCGAUCGGCUCUAAUCAUAUAAUAAGCUCCAGUCAAGCUACAAGAUAAACAGACACAACCGACAAUGGUGACACGUACAAUGCCUGAGAGAAUAACAUUACAAGAUAUAAAACAUUUCUUUAGACAAAUGAUUAGUACAUUCAUAGUCUAUGUAUUCCAACACAUACUUCACAAGCCCAGGUCGAACAAAAAAUAGACGGGCUUAAGUAAAUGUACUUAAUAAUGGCAACGGAAGCACCAGCUAUAUUCAGAAAUUUUUCUUACUUCAACUAAUAGUUUAAUAGUAUAAAAAUAGGAAGAGGGGAAAAAAAAAAAAAGAAAAGAAAUUUACCAGUCAUGUUCUGCUCUUAAAUUUCCUCUGAGCUUUUAAGUCCACAACAAUGACGGUGAUGUUAUCUUUACUCCCUUUCUGGAGAGCAAGCCUCGAGAGAUAGUCCGCGGCGGCUUGAGCUGCGGGAUCUGCUCCUUCACCUCUACUUACUGUGGAAGUGGCAGAUGACGACGAUGACGAAGAUGAUGG
RNAcentral lists this long non-coding RNA (3341 nucleotides) under Ananas comosus (pineapple). Its description in RNAcentral is "long non-coding RNA (ACOM_LNC015861)". The record is from RNAcentral. Lineage: Eukaryota; Viridiplantae; Streptophyta; Magnoliopsida; Poales; Bromeliaceae.